This 511-nucleotide ribosomal RNA is filed under the name uncultured bacterium. RNAcentral describes it as "bacterial SSU rRNA". It matches the Rfam family "Bacterial small subunit ribosomal RNA", at positions 554 to 1071 of the family's 1533-position model. The record is from RNAcentral.
UUGGGCGUAAAGCGCUCGUAGGCGGUCUGUUAGGUCGGGAGUUAAAUUCGGGGGCUCAACCCCCGUUCGCUCCCGAUACCGGCAGACUUGAGUUUGGUAGGGGAAGGUGGAAUUCCUAGUGUAGCGGUGGAAUGCGCAGAUAUUAGGAAGAACACCAGUGGCGAAGGCGGCCUUCUGGGCCAUAACUGACGCUGAGGAGCGAAAGCUAGGGGAGCAAGCAGGAUUAGAUACCCUGGUAGUCCUAGCCGUAAACGAUGGACACUAGGUGUGGGGGAAUAUUUCUUCCGUGCCGCAGCUAACGCAUUAAGUGUCCCGCCUGGGGAGUACGGCCGCAAGGCUAAAACUCAAAGGAAUUGACGGGGGCCCGCACAAGCAGCGGAGCAUGUGGUUUAAUUCGAAGCAACGCGAAGAACCUUACCAGGGCUUGACAUUUAGGCGAAGCGGCGGAAACGUCGUGGCCGAAAGGAGCCUAAACAGGUGGUGCAUGGCUGUCGUCAGCUCGUGUCGUGAG